GAUGAACGCUGGCGGCGUGCCUAAUACAUGCAAGUCGAGCGAACAGACGAGAAGCUUGCUUUUCUGAUGUUAGCGGCGGACGGGUGAGUAACACGUGGAUAACCUACCUAUAAGACUGGGAUAACUUCGGGAAACCGGAGCUAAUACCGGAUAAUAUUUUGAACCGCAUGGUUCAAUAGUGAAAGACGGUCUUGCUGUCACUUAUAGAUGGAUCCGCGCCGCAUUAGCUAGUUGGUAAGGUAACGGCUUACCAAGGCAACGAUGCGUAGCCGACCUGAGAGGGUGAUCGGCCACACUGGAACUGAGACACGGUCCAGACUCCUACGGGAGGCAGCAGUAGGGAAUCUUCCGCAAUGGGCGAAAGCCUGACGGAGCAACGCCGCGUGAGUGAUGAAGGUCUUCGAAUCGUAAAACUCUGUUAUUAGGGAAGAACAUAUGUGUAAGUAACUGUGCACGUCUUGACGGUACCUAAUCAGAAAGCCACGGCUAACUACGUG
RNAcentral lists this ribosomal RNA (497 nucleotides) under uncultured bacterium. RNAcentral's name for it is "partial 16S ribosomal RNA". It matches the Rfam family "Bacterial small subunit ribosomal RNA", at positions 28 to 507 of the family's 1533-position model. The record is from RNAcentral.